Molecule: long non-coding RNA, 459 nt
Filed under: Sorghum bicolor (sorghum)
Lineage: Eukaryota; Viridiplantae; Streptophyta; Magnoliopsida; Poales; Poaceae
Description: long non-coding RNA (SBIC_LNC009044)
Source: RNAcentral
GGGGCUUACUGUUUUUAACAUUUUUAAUUUCUUUUCAAGAUAGCAUGAUUAACUAACAAGCUAUUUAAGGAAAGUAAAUAAUUUAAGGAAAAAGGGAAUGCAGAAAGGAUAAAUAUGUAUAACUAUCAAUUUUACCUUUCAGCGAGGGUUCAAUGUUUUAAGUCUUCUGAACAAGACUUCUCACCGUUUUCAUUCUUUAGGUGCGUCAUUUGAUUCAGGUGCGGACCUUGAUGUCUGCACCUCUUGAUACGGUGUCACCCAUGUUCUUCGUUUGCCUAGUAGUUUGAAGUGCGGCAUUGGCAUUAUCUUGCUCAGUGUGUUUGUGCUCGUAGAUCCAGGUCCUUCACUUGGUGGAGUCUGGGAGUUGUAAAACUCCACCAUGUUUUGCUCCAAGUGUACCUGCUCAUAGAGAUAAGGCAGAGAUCAAGUGCAUGGGUCCUGUUGGUAGAAAACACCAAU